GCCUCGGUGGCUCAGCCUGGUAGAAACUAAAUUGCCAAGAGCGAGCGCCUCGUAAGCGCUAAGUCGCGGGAUCGAAGCCCGCCCGAGGCU
Molecule: transfer RNA, 90 nt
Filed under: Nitrososphaerales archaeon
Lineage: Archaea; Thermoproteati; Nitrososphaerota; Nitrososphaeria; Nitrososphaerales
Description: tRNA-Thr
Rfam family: tRNA
About the family: Transfer RNA (tRNA) molecules are approximately 80 nucleotides in length. Their secondary structure includes four short double-helical elements and three loops (D, anti-codon, and T loops).
Source: RNAcentral